RNAcentral lists this ribosomal RNA (519 nucleotides) under uncultured bacterium. RNAcentral describes it as "partial 16S ribosomal RNA". It matches the Rfam family "Bacterial small subunit ribosomal RNA", at positions 28 to 507 of the family's 1533-position model. The record is from RNAcentral.
GACGAACGCUGGCGGCGUGCCUAAUACAUGCAAGUCGAGCGAGCUUGCCUAGAUGAAUUUGGUGCUUGCACCAAAUGAAACUAGAUACAAGCGAGCGGCGGACGGGUGAGUAACACGUGGGUAACCUGCCCAAGAGACUGGGAUAACACCUGGAAACAGAUGCUAAUACCGGAUAACAACACUAGACGCAUGUCUAGAGUUUAAAAGAUGGUUCUGCUGUCACUCUUGGAUUGACCUGCGGUGCAUUAGCUAGUUGGUAAGGCAACGGCUUACCAAGGCAAUGAUGCAUAGCCGAGUUGAGAGGGUGAUCGGCCACAUUGGGACUGAGACACGGCCCAAACUCCUACGGGAGGCAGCAGUAGGGAAUCUUCCACAAUGGACGAAAGUCUGAUGGAGCAACGCCGCGUGAGUGAAGAAGGGCUUCGGCUCGUAAAGCUCUGUUGGUAGUGAAGAAAGAUAGAGGUAGUAACUGGCCUUUAUUUGACGGUAAUUACUUAGAAAGUCACGGCUAACUACGUG